GACGAACGCUGGCGGCGUGCUUAACACAUGCCAGUCGAACGGAAAGGCCCUGCUUUUGUGGGGUGCUCGAGUGGCGAACGGGUGAGUAACACGUGAGUAACCUGCCCUUGACUUUGGGAUAACUUCAGGAAACUGGGGCUAAUACCGGAUAGGAGCUCCUGCUGCAUGGUGGGGGUUGGAAAGUUUCGGCGGUUGGGGAUGGACUCGCGGCUUAUCAGCUUGUUGGUGGGGUAGUGGCUCACCAAGGCUUUGACGGGUAGCCGGCCUGAGAGGGUGACCGGCCACAUUGGGACUGAGAUACGGCCCAGACUCCUACGGGAGGCAGCAGUGGGGAAUAUUGCACAAUGGGCGGAAGCCUGAUGCAGCAACGCCGCGUGCGGGAUGACGGCCUUCGGGUUGUAAACCGCUUUCGCCUGUGACGAAGCGUGAGUGACGGUAAUGGGUAAAGAAGCACCGGCUAACUACGU
RNAcentral lists this ribosomal RNA (467 nucleotides) under uncultured bacterium. Its description in RNAcentral is "partial 16S ribosomal RNA". It matches the Rfam family "Bacterial small subunit ribosomal RNA", at positions 28 to 506 of the family's 1533-position model. The record is from RNAcentral.